CACGUAGGGGGCAAGCGUUGUCCGGAUUUAUUGGGCGUAAAGAGCUCGUAGGCGGCUUUGUCAGUCGGGUGUGAAACCUCCAGGCUCAACCUGGAGCCGCCACCCGAUACUGCAAUGGCUAGAGUCCGGUAGGGGAGCAUGGAACUCCUGGUGUAGCGGUGAAAUGCGCAGAUAUCAGGAAGAACACCAGUGGCGAAGGCGGUGCUCUGGGCCGGAACUGACGCUGAGGAGCGAAAGCGUGGGGAGCAAACAGG
Molecule: ribosomal RNA, 254 nt
Filed under: uncultured bacterium
Lineage: Bacteria
Also listed under: 1 other name
Description: partial 16S ribosomal RNA
Rfam family: Bacterial small subunit ribosomal RNA
Source: RNAcentral